CCUACGGGAGGCAGCAGUGGGGAAUCUUGCGCAAUGGGCGAAAGCCUGACGCAGCAACGCCGCGUGCGGGAAGAAGGCCCUAGGGUUGUAAACCGCUUUCAGUAGGAACGAAAAUGACGGUACCUGCAGAAGAAGGUGCGGCCAACUACGUGCCAGCAGCCGCGGUGACACGUAGGCACCAAGCGUUGUCCGGAUUUAUUGGGCGUAAAGAGCUCGUAGGCGGUUGAGUAAGUCGGGUGUGAAAACUCUGGGCUUAACCCAGAGCCGCCACUCGAUACUGCUGUGACUUGAGUUCGGUAGGGGAGCAGGGAAUUCCUAGUGUAGCGGUGAAAUGCGCAGAUAUUAGGAGGAACACCGGUGGCGAAGGCGCUGCUCUGGGCCGAUACUGACGCUGAGGAGCGAAAGCGUGGGUAGCAAACAGGAUUAGAUACCCUGGUAGUCCACGCCGUAAACGUUGGGGCACUAGGUGUGGGUUCCAACACGGAAUCCGCGCCGUCGCUAACGCAUUAAGUGCCCCGCCUGGGGGAGUACGGCGGCGACGACGAAACGUACGAAGAGUAGUAGCGUGUGAGUUAGCGACGACGACGACGACGGAGGAGGAG
Molecule: ribosomal RNA, 602 nt
Filed under: uncultured bacterium
Lineage: Bacteria
Description: bacterial SSU rRNA
Rfam family: Bacterial small subunit ribosomal RNA (bases 1-520)
Source: RNAcentral